RNAcentral lists this ribosomal RNA (495 nucleotides) under uncultured bacterium. RNAcentral describes it as "partial 16S ribosomal RNA". It matches the Rfam family "Bacterial small subunit ribosomal RNA", at positions 28 to 507 of the family's 1533-position model. The record is from RNAcentral.
GACGAACGCUGGCGGCGUGCCUAAUACAUGCAAGUAGAACGCUGAAGGAGGAGCUUGCUCUUCUGGAUGAGUUGCGAACGGGUGAGUAACGCGUAGGUAACCUGCCUGGUAGCGGGGGAUAACUAUUGGAAACGAUAGCUAAUACCGCAUAACAGUAGAUGUUGCAUGACAUUUACUUAAAAGGUGCAAUUGCAUCACUACCAGAUGGACCUGCGUUGUAUUAGCUAGUUGGUGGGGUAACGGCUCACCAAGGCGACGAUACAUAGCCGACCUGAGAGGGGGAUCGGCCACACUGGGACUGUGACACGGCCCAGACUCCUUCGGGAGGCAGCAGUAGGGAAUCUUCGGCAAUGGACGGAAGUCUGACCGAGCAACGCCGCGUGAGUGAAGAAGGUUUUCGGAUCGUAAAGCUCUGUUGUAAGGGAAGAACGAGUGUGAGAGUGGAAAGUUCACACUGUGACGGUAUCUUACCAGAAAGGGACGGCUAACUACGUG